RNAcentral lists this ribosomal RNA (305 nucleotides) under uncultured bacterium. RNAcentral describes it as "bacterial SSU rRNA". It matches the Rfam family "Bacterial small subunit ribosomal RNA", at positions 333 to 655 of the family's 1533-position model. The record is from RNAcentral.
UUUUGCCUACGGGGCGCAGCAGUGGGGGAUAUUGCACAAUGGGGGGAACCCUGAUGCAGCGACGCCGCGUGGGUGAAGAAGCGCCUCGGCGCGUAAAGCCCUGUCAGCAGGGAAGAAAAUGACGGUACCUGAAGAAGAAGCCCCGGCUAACUACGUGCCAGCAGCCGCGGUAAUACGUAGGGGGCAAGCGUUAAUCGGAAUUACUGGGCGUAAAGCGCUCGUAGGCGGUAUGUCAAGUCAAGGGUGAAAUCCCCGCGCUCAACGUGGGAACUGCCUUUGAAACUGGCAAACUGGAGUGUGUGAGG